RNAcentral lists this transfer RNA (103 nucleotides) under Microcaldota archaeon. RNAcentral's name for it is "tRNA-Gly". It matches the Rfam family "tRNA". Rfam says of the family: Transfer RNA (tRNA) molecules are approximately 80 nucleotides in length. Lineage: Archaea; Nanobdellati; Microcaldota. The record is from RNAcentral.
GCGGUUGUAGUCUAGACGGGCCUUUCUGUAAAAGGGGUUCAGGGCAAUGGCAGGAUUCGAGCUUCCCAAGCUCGCGACCCGGGUUCAAAUCCCGGCAACCGCA